UUGGGAAUUCAAAAAAUUUGAACUGAGAAAUAUGACAGUACAAUUGUUCAGUCAAUGGAUGCAAACACAAACUAAAUUGCCAAUUUUAGUAUAGAUUUACAGAUUCAACUAGAAAAGGAAUUGAUCAAAGUUUAAAAAGAAAUUAAAGGAAAAAAAAAAUCUCAAGUUUAAAAGAAAAAAUUAGUACAUCAUUUGCUUGACAGGGUAACUUACAACCAGCUGAAACCGGCUUAUGCUUGCACCCCAACCUUCAACUUCCCACCAUCUGAAUUACUUCCAGGCAAGAAUACAACUUCAUUUUCAUGCCGCCACAUGAUAUAAGUGAUGCUACAAAGGUGGCGUUCACAUGCAAGUUUAUUUUGGUAUUUGUUACAACCCCAAGUCAGUCUCCAUGUAUAAAUCCAGUGUAUCUCGCUAACCCCUCUUAGCUCGUGAGAACAAUUUGGUCAUUCCCAAGGCGACAAUCAAGUUUCAAACUGUUGAAUUCACUGUUUAUGUCACAAGACAAAAUCCAAGCUCACUUAACAUUUCUCAAUUGGCCACAAUAAUCAACCUGCAGGCCAAACAAUGUACCUUCCACAGUCACUUGCAACAAGAGCACAAAAUGAUUGUCACCUUCAAUUACAGGCCAGUAUGGUAUACUUCCCAGAUUGCUUAGGAAGCUGCAAUUUCAUUAAGCUGCAAAGGUUGAUUCCAAGGGGAACUUCCUGGAGAGGGUGCUGAAUCUGAAGCAUCUGCAAGAGCUUCAAGCAUGUUUAUGACAUCAGUUGUGUCAUCCAAAUAGUACUUGGCUUUGCUUGGUUUUUGUCCAACAGUACAGGCAAAAACUGAUGUACUUGAGGAAAGAACACCGCUUGUUAUUGCAUUGCCAAUGAUCUCAAACAUGUCCUCAUCUGAUCUGUCAUCACCAACGCACAAUACAAAAUCGGCCUGCCUUCCACUUUCAGCCAUUGAUGUAAAGAUCUUUUCUGCAACGCAACCUUUACUGAUUCCCUGAAAAAUGAAAAAUCAAAGUCAGAAACCAGCAUCAGAUACUAGACAAAUGGUAUAUGCAUUUCCAAGCACUCAAAAUUAUGUAGUUACCAUAAACACAUAUGCAAUAAUUGGUCAACAAUUGUCUUCUUCUAGUUCAAGCCACACUGAAGUAGUUGAUACAGCACCUAUUAAAUGAUCUAACUCUAAGAAAGAAUCAAUCUUCAAUUUUAUCUUAUGAUAUUUAUAUGAUCCAAGCAUGAGUUAUUACAGUUUCGUUGACUCAUUAUUCAAAACAAAAUUGAAACAAUUUCAUAGGAAAUCAUGAAUUUAUAUAUAUAUUUUUUAAUGGCAUAAUCAGCAGAGUUGCUUCAGAAAAGAAAUUCUAAAAUCACUUAGCCAUGGUUAAGAGAGAAGUCAGAUAUUCUAAGAAAGUAUUGUUUGUGAGGGGUAGAGGCAUGCAUUCCCAUUGAGACUGUCACCAAAAAAAAAUAUAUAUAUACAAAUCAAACCCCCAGUAAAUGAUUCUACAAAUUUAAAAUUUAAAGCCAUCUGAAAUACAGAAAAAAGAGAGGUUCAGGAGGGGGGCUGGUGGGAUCUUCAAAUUUCGUUUGGUUAACUUGGUUGUUCAUGCAUGAAUUGGCAAAGAUUUUCGUGCCACAUUCAAGUGCUUCUCAAUUCUGAAAUACAGCAUAUCGAAAUCUGUGCUUGUGUCCCUACCAAGCCCUUUACCACCUUAAUUAGUGCCCAUAAGCAACUUCAUUCAUUUGACGAAAAAGUGAUGAGAUCAACAGUAUAUAGUUAGCAUUACAUAAAACAGAAUAUACAGUAGUUUGCAAAAGCAAAUUUUUUGCUUUCAUGGUAUUGAAACAAUAACUAGGUAGUAUCAUUGGUAAAACAUUCACAGUCUAUUUUGACAGAAGGGCGAAAUUUGAAAGCAAAGCAGAGAUUUGUACCUGUGGCUUUACUUCUACAAUAAACUGACCACUUUUCACAGCAACAGGCUCAUUUGCUAGCACGCUUUCUAAAUGAUCCAACAUCUCCUUGGCCUGGCUGGCUCCAAAACCUGGAUCAGCAUCCCUAUGAUGCCAGACUAGGGCACUCUCCUUGGUCUCAAUAGAAGAGCCAUCUGUUGAUUCUGUAUACAACUUCAUGACAGGCUCAGCUAUUUGAAUCCAUCCGAAAUCACUACUCUGUCCACAAGUCUCCCAGUGCUCGUCAACAGACCAUCUCAUGAAAAAGCCAUGUUCAGCAGCAAUUCCAAGCUUCUUGCAAGGAGAGAACCACUUGCCUAAACUUUCCCUACCUCUACCACUUACAAUGAAAACAGUGUUCUUCACAUCACCACACAGAGCAUUUAUGAUAGAUAUGACCUCUUGACUUGGGGUCUUGUUGAUGGAUGUUUGGGGCAUUAUAGUUCCAUCAUAGUCCAACAAUAUAGCCCUGUUUUUGGACCUUAAAUAUGCAGAGACAAUAGCAUCGAUAGAUAACUUUCUGAAAUUAGGAUCAAGAGCGACAACUCUGAAACCAAAGCUCAAGCCAAUCCCCCAACAAAGCCUUCUAAAAUGGUCUCUGCAACACCUUUCCAUAUCUUGGAAGAAGCUUCUUGACCAGUAUGCCACAUCGUGUGUGCUGACAUACCUGUAAUGUUUCUCAUGGCGCAAUUGCUUCUCAGAAUCAGACAUUGAAAUUGCCUCAUUCAUUGCCUCUGCAGUUGCUUCAAUGUUCCAGGGAUUGACCCGAAUUGCACCACUGAGCGAAGGAGAACAUCCAAUGAACUCUGAUACAACCAGCAUGCUCUUUUUGGGUCCACUGGAUUCAGAACUAUUCUCUGGCCCAAAGACGCCCUGUCUGCAUACGAUGUACUCAUAAGGAGUAAGAUUCAUCCCAUCCCUCACAGCUGCCACUACAACACACUCUGCAAUCGUAUAGUACGCAGCUCUUUCACUAAGGGAUAUGGGCCUAUCAAUGAACACAACUGGUUCAUAUCCAGGUUGACCAAAAGUUUCGUUAAUUCUCUUGCAGCUUGCCUGUAUUUCAGCCUGUAUCUCCUCAAGAUCUUUCCCUUUUCCUCUAGCAGGAUUAGCAAUCUGUACUAAAACUGCCCUCCCCUGCCACUUUGGAUGCUGCUUCAGCAUCUGUUCCAUAGCCAAAAGCUUCAAAUUCACACCUUUAAAUAUGUCCAUAUCAUCAACACCAAGCAAAACAGUUUUUCCUUCAAACUGCUGUUUUAGCUCUCCUACUCUCCAUUCCUUAUCUGCAAGUUUCAAAACUGACUCGAUCUGACCCAUGUGAAUUCCCACUGGCAUGAUCUUUAUUCCAAUGGUCCUGCCAUAAUACUCCAACCCAAUAUAACCUCUCUUUGAUUGAUACUCCAAACCCAGCAUUCGACUGCAACAAGAGAGAAAAUGACGAGCAUAAUCAAAAGUGUGAAAGCCAAUAAGAUCUGAAUUCAAUAGAGCCUUAAGGAUCUCUUCCCUCACAGGUAACGUCCUAUAUAUUUCAGAUGAAGGAAAUGGACUAUGGAGAAAGAACCCCAUUCUCAAUCUAUUAAACCUUCUUCUCAAAAAUGUGGGCAGGACCAUCAAAUGAUAAUCAUGAAUCCAAACAUAGUCAUCCUCUGGGUUUAUAACCUCAAUCACUCUUUGUGAAAAUAUCUUAUUUGCUGCCACAUAUGCCUCCCACAGAGACCGAUCAAACCGUCCACCGUGAUUAACUGAAAAGGGAAGCAUGUAAUGAAAAAGAGGCCACAGAUGUUGCUUACAAAACCCAUGAUAGAACUUGGACAAAAUAUCAGGGGGCAAAAAUGCUGGGACACACUUAAACCUAUCCAAUAAAAGCUGUGAGACAUCAUCUUGUUCGCUCAAAUCAACUUCAACCCGCAAGGAACCAACGUAUAUAACCUCCAUAUCUUCUGGCAAACCAUCUUUCAAUUGCAAUAACAACGAGUCCUCAUCCCAGCUAAAACUCCAUCCUUUAUUAUCUGGUCUGCGCUUGGCUUUCACUGGUAGCUGAUUGGCUACGAUGAUUAUACGGUCCUGAACUACUGAAGAGGGUACAUCAGAGGACACGCUAUUGGCCUGAUCAUCAUCGAGCUCAGAAAUGACCCCAGGAACGGUCAUCACACGAGGCAACCGCUUCUUUUCACGGGGUUGACCCAGUACCGGAAAGUUACCAGAGGCUAGAUCCAAGAGAUUGGUAUACGAUCUAGACAUCAUUUUCACGCUCUUCUUUUGAAAACCCUUUACAACUCACAGAAUCUAUCACAAGAUCUCAAGCUUAUAAACAAAACCGGAAAUUGGUUCUCUCAGAAAAUACUUUAAUUGGGCAGGAUCUCAGUUUUGAAACGAAGAAAGUUUGUUUCUUUCCCUUUUUUGGAUCUGAAAUCGAAUAAAAAAAAUUUGUAAUUUUAUCUGCACAACAAAGAAAUCUAGGGUUUGGUUUGGUCCUCCAUUUCUGAAGAGGCAUUUACAAUCCCUCUCUCUCUCUCUCUCU
This 4467-nucleotide unclassified non-coding RNA is filed under the name Hevea brasiliensis (rubber tree). Lineage: Eukaryota; Viridiplantae; Streptophyta; Magnoliopsida; Malpighiales; Euphorbiaceae. The record is from RNAcentral.